Non-coding RNA from Rattus norvegicus (Norway rat), 5854 nucleotides. Lineage: Eukaryota; Metazoa; Chordata; Mammalia; Rodentia; Muridae. The record is from RefSeq and is a predicted model, not a curated record.
AAUUAGAAUUUGAGUCUUUAGAAAUAUAUUGAAACAAAAAUAAAAUUCCAUUUAAGUGUGCUGAAAAUAUGGAACACAUUAAAAAAAUAACCAUGACACUAAAACUACAGUAUUGUUUUAGGCAUGAGUCACCCAACCAGAAAGACAAUAAUUAUAUUCUCCUCGGACUCAUUGUUCUGAGUGUACUUAUAAGCAGUAAGGACCAUUCAGGUCAAAAUGUUGGUUAAAAAAAUGACUGAGAUGCUACAAACAAAUCCUAAAGUUUUGAAGAGACAUACAGUCUUUCCACAGGCAUUAAGUAAUUCUCCUAUUAUUUCUAUUACUUUAAAAAGAAUUACAAAAGAAAAUACAUUAAAAUAUUUUAACUAUGAAAGGAAAAUAAUUUAAAAUAAUUUCAUUGCUACAUAAUUGGGUGUUGUUAAGAUGACAGGCAUCCUCCUAAUGUAUAACUGCGAUAAGUAAAGCAAAAAACACUUUUUGGUAUCUGUGUCAAAUACAUAUAAUCUCAACCUAUAAGAGAAAAACAACUGGACAAAUCCAAAUUCAGAGACAUUUCAGCAAAGUAUUUUUCUUCAAAGGUGUAGUCACAUAAGAUAAAAAUAGUAAUGAAUUAUCACAGAAUAGAAUAACAUAAGAUAUGUAAUAACUAAAUGUCAACUGGAUUUCUGGAUUGAAAAUGGGCAUAGAUAGUGUACAGUUCUAGAAACAUUGUUAUUAUGAUUUGAUCAACCUACAAAAUUACUUUUAACAUUUUUUUCAAUUUUCUAAUUUUUUGAGAAUUAGUCAUUAGAUUGAUUAAAGUAUAUAAAAUUUAGUAAUUAGGUUACGAUAUAAAACCAUACUGUUUCCUAUCAAUUAAAUCUCCUUUUCCUGUAUUGUUUGAAUUCUGCUUUAUUUUUUGUAUUGAUUCAUAUUAUUAAUUUAUUUAUGUCUCAAAUGCUGUCAUUUUUCCUGUUUUCCCCCACAGAUUCCCUUAACCCAAUCACCAUCCUUUUCUGAUUUCUUCUUUCAAAGAGUCAAAACAACAGGAGUUAUAAGGCAUGUUCAGUCCCUGAAUAGCUGUUCAUAUGGCCAUGCAUUUGAAAAUCUACAACAUUGAUAAUGCAGACAUCAGGAAAUAUCAUUCAAAAAUGAUCUUCAAAUAUUAAAUAAUCUCCACUUAUCAGCUAACAACUAUCAGCUUUACAAAACAGGAAGAAUCCAAGAGGAAAAAUAUCCUUGUAAUGUACGUAGAUAAAAUUGAUCAGAUAAGAAGGAAAUCAGAGAGCAACCUUCCUGGAUUCAACACAAGAGAGCCUCAGUUCCUGUAGUGUAUUCGACAGCAGUCUAGCAUGGCUUCCCUCUGUGAGAUUCCACUAAGCUGCUGACUCAGACAGAAGCAGGCAUCAUCUAGUCAAACCACGGUGGAGCUUGGGGACUCUGAUGGAAGAAGAGAAUGAAAAGGAUUAUGGCCUCUAAGGAUAUAGGCACUCCACAGGCUUUGUCUUCAUGCAGGCUAUGGUGUUGUGAAGACAAGAUACCACAUGUGCAGCUGUGAAUAAGUCUGAGAAGGCUGACUUCUUGGAUUUCUGAAGCAUUACUAAGUGAUCCAGAGGAAAUCAGCACCCCCUGCUCAGCAGAGCUCUGGGAAUGCUGACACUCUUGCUUCAUGUUUAUAUUAACCUAGGUCAAAAGAUCACCUGUCAGGGUCUCCGGGGAAGGCAUCAUCCCAACCUUCCAGCAUCAGUGAGCAAGUGCAACAGAUUAAGAAGUUUGUAGAAAUUGACUAAGGAGCUCCAGAAGAUGACAUGUGAGUUGGAAAAUUCCCGUGCAUAGGUAACCAUUGCACCAACAGCAUUUGAAGAGAAGUAGUCAUUGUACCCACUUCUUUGUAGACAGUCCUGACCCCUGUGUGAUAACCUCAGUUUUCUCAGACCACAGGAAAAUGCAACUGUAAUGUCCUCAUGUACAAAUUAAUUUUCUUAUGUUCCUCUCAGAAUCACAACAUAAAGAAAGGAUAGUAGUAUGAUAGGAAGCGAUUUUAUUUCUCAGAAAUGCAGAAGCAGUGGUUUGAAUAAGUGUCUUGGGUUACGGAAAGUAAUGUGUGAGCUCUCAUCAUGGAUUUUAAUAGACAGAGAAUGUAUUUUCUGUCCUCAGACACACAGAAAGUUGGUAAGCUACAGAAGCAUAGUAACUUAAACUUAGAUAAGUAAACUUUUAUUUUUUUAUUUAAAGUUUUAUUUUAUUUGUUUUCAAUGAGUAUCUGUAACUCUCAGACACAACAGAAGUGGAAGUUUAAUGCCAUUAUACAUGGUUUUAUGCCACUAUGAUUUUGCUGGUAGUUGAACUCAGGACCUAUGGAAAAACAGUUAGGACUCUUAAAUGCUGAAUCAUCUUACCAGUCUAAAUUACUUUUGACGAUGAUGGUGAUGAAGAUGAUGAUGAUGAUGAUGAUGAUGAUGAUUACCAUUAUUAUUAUUAUACUUAAACUCUAAAGGGAUCAAGAUUUCCCCUCCUCCAAAGCUCUUUCCCCUCUCCUGUCUCAAGAUAUCCUACAAUAAAGAAGAUACCAUCACAGCUUCCCAUCCUCCCCAGCACUGAAGAAAGAAAAGUUUUACUUUGUCAUGGUUAUGGACAUAUUCUUGUUUACUGGGCUCAGAGCUUCAGAUCUGAUGGAGGGAGACUAUGGAAAUGGAAUCUCCUUUGGAGGAAUCUGCUUACCUUGUAGGAACGGGGAAACAGUGAGCAAAAGUAAGAUGUUGUUCCACGACUUCAUCCCUUGCUAAGAAAAAAGUCUAUUUUUCACAGCUUGGGAACUGGGUAAGCAGUCUAAGCAAGCAUGGCUAAUAAGCCAAACCAGAUGGGUAAACAUUUGUCCAUUGGAUACGAAGGGGGAGCAUUUAAUUGACUAUGCUGACUGUAUCUCCUGUCCACUGUGUUCUAAUCCCAUGCAAGGAAAGUUCGGUGGAUUUUGUCUGUCCUGUGUCAGAACAAUAGUGUUUUCCAUUCUGAAUGCUUUUUCUUCACUGAUAUGAACCUUGAGAGAACAGUGGGAGCCAUGGAAAGCCACAGCCAACAACAUUCUACAUUCUAGAAUAUCAAGGGCUUCUCUUAAGAAACACUUUCUUGUAGUUGUGAAUUCAGCAGGGAGGAAAAUUACAACCAACCUCUGAUCAAGCAGCAUAAAAAUUAGCAUGAGAUAAAGAAAGACUUAAAAAUGAGUCAGAUCUCUGAUACAUAACAAGAAGUGGACCCUGGCACUGUCACAAAUAACAUUAAGGUUAUUUUGUUGAGCAAGAGUUACUCUCCUGGAGUCCUCAGAUGUUCAUAUGUGGUUGAAAAUCUGUCACAGAAGACUGUAUUGAUAUCAUACUCUAAUCCAGAGAGACCAUACAAAAAAGUAUAUUAUUCCUUCUGGAGUAUUGGUUGAAAUUAAUUCACAUCACACAUUUGUAUGUGAGGCUUAAAUUAAUGUUCUACAUAGACAAAAGCAUUAUCUCAAUCCUUGCCUUUGUAAUUUGUUUUGUUUUGUUUUUAAUUUUAAAAAUGGCUUAGUAUUCUUCAGUUAAACAAUUGAACUGAAGUGACUGUUCCUCAGACUGUAUACAUAGAAAACAUCUGAGUAGUAGUUGACAUUUUUAGUCGGGGCGUCUCCCCAUGGAUCUGUUUGUGCCUGAAUAAGCAUGCAUAGACUUAUUUCAGUUAAGGGAAUCAUGUAGUAUUAAAAAAAUUAGAGGAUCCAUCUGCUGUAAAUAUUUUCUUUUACUCAGGUGAAGGAAGGUUUAUCAAAGGCUGUGUAUCAAAGGUUGUAGAUAUUACACCAUCCAUAGGAGAUAAUAUAUCAAGAAAGAUUCUGCAGGGAUGCAGAGAUUGACCUAAAUAUCCCCACACAAUUCUAAGCCAGGACGGACAAGAUAUCACUUCACGUGGAAAUUUAAAAUAAUCUGAUGCUAUGGUAUGUGGAGUGUUAAUAAAGAAAAACCACCUAAAAAGCAUAUGCAUAUAUAGAAGAUGCUAUUCAAAAAUAUACAGAGGCAGUUUGGAACCUACAUUUAGCACAAAGAGAUUGAAUCCCCACUUCACAGAUACUGAAUAGAACCACUGAGUAUUAAGAAAUCUAUAUUAGAAAUCACUUGCCUAUCACAUGUCUGUAUAACUAGGUAGUCACAGCAAACAUGACAUUCGGAAAGCAUAGCUUGAACUUGUCAACAAUGGAGGGAGUGCAUGUAGUGAACGAGGUUUGGGCAUGAAACUCAAAAGUCGAAAAUACCACUGAGAUUUGAGUUUUGAGGACAAUAAAUACUUAAUGACUUUUGGGACAAAAUUUGAAUCUAAAGACUCCUAAAAUUAUUUAUCAAUCAGCUCUGAAUCCCUAUGGAGAUUGGUGGAUAUUAUGAAUUUAGUCUGUGCCCCAGAGGUAUAGGUAAAUGGUGUAAUUUGAAGUGAUUAGGUAUGCUAAAGAGGCAUACAAAACUGAGGAGGCCAUGGUAUCAUUGAAUAAGUGUGCUUCUCCAAAACGUAGCAUGAUUUUUUGUGCAGUGACUUAGACACUAUACACACACGCGCAUGCACACACAUAAACACACAGAUACACAUAUACACACAUACACACAAACACACACACAAACUCACACAAACACACACACACACACACACAAAACCCACAAAUAAUUGACUUCCUCUGUGCUGUGUGUGGCAUGCUGGAAUUAUCCAAGAUAUGAAGAGUAUUCUCCACAAGUAAGUUAAACCCAAACUCAAUGAAAAAUUUAGAAUUCCUCCUCCUUUCUUGAGAAAGCAUUCUGUGCAUGAGUAAUGCUUACAUUUUAAAGUUUAAGAGGGAUGACUUGAAAACAGUAACUACUUAAUCCACGUUGAAACAGCAUUUCAGAGAUGUGUAGUGAUUUAAUUUUGAUUUUAUGAAACUGCAAUUUCUCAGGUCUCAUUAGUGCAGUAUUGAACCAUGUCAUUCUUAAACAUAACUGUAGGGACAGUAAGAGUUUGGAGAUUUCUCUAAGUUGAAAAACCUCAGAAAUCUUAUUAGCAACAACUUAAUUCAAAAAUGGAGAAACUUGUGCUUGGGUAAGGUCCGGUACCUAAGACUGAGCAGCUGGUUCAAAGCCAAGGACAAACAUUGCAUGUAACCAAGGACUGCUGGGUACAGAACCUGUUACUAAAAUGGAGAAAGCUGAAGUCUUCAGGAAAUAUGGAUAAGGAAUACUUGGAAUGGUAGAAAUUAUAUGCUAUAUAUUUAGUGGUACACACUGAGAGGAUGAAUUUUUGAAAUGUUUAUCUCCUUAGGAGUGUAAACAUUUGAGCUAAGUAAAUGCUGUAGCCUAGGUAGGAAAGGGAAGUGAGUUUCCAUUCAGACACUGGAAUUACCUUCAUGCCGAACAUAAACAUGGGAGGGUUUCAAAGAAAUGUUGAAGCAUAUCAAGAGCUUCUGAGCAUCCAGGAGGAGUCUGAGAGGAUUAAUUUGUUCUUGUUAUGAGGGAUUUUCUAGUUUAUUGUUGGAAAUCCAUCAGGAGAAGUUCAAAGUCUAGAAACCAAAUUCUAUACAAGUCUCAUAUUAGCUUUGGAAGACUGUGACCUGUAAAGGCCUCAAAAAGGCAUAGCUAGAUUCACCUGUUAAAAUGUAUUACAAUUGGUGACUGACUGCCUUUCCACUAUGUUCCCAAGGCCAGCCGCAAGGUACGACUGUGGUGCUAAACCUUCGGCUGGAGAAUUCUGCUUAGCUUAAUUACUGUGUUUUGUUUUUGGUUUGAGUUGUGUUUGCUUCAGGUAUUAGUACUGUUGGUUUGGUUGGAAGUUUUGUUAUUCAUUCUUAAUAAAUUUUUGUUCUUUUGGUGAAUUUGCAGUUUUGAUAACAUCAUGCACA